GGAUCAAUACACAGGCUCGGGCCUGUUCUUUGCAAGCUAGUCGAUCCCAAACUCCGUGUCAAGAUUGUGAAAUUGGUCAAAUCCAAAUUCCGGUUCAACCUUUUCAACCCAUUAUGCUCUAGGAUACAAUCGAUCUCCAGGUCUACUCAAUUAACAGCAAGAAGGAAAGGGGGAAGAGUAUAAAUGUCCAAUGAAGGAAGGCCACCUAUAUGGGGCAAUGCACUUCCAGUAAAUCAUCACAGAUAGAAGGUUUCCUAGGGAAAAAGAGAAACAACAUAGAGCAACAGGCAAACAAUAAGAAGACAUCAAAAAUGGAUAAAGGGGGAAAAGGAGCAGUUACAAGAGGACAGGCGACUAGGUUUGGCUUUAAAAGACCACCUCUUUGUCCAAGCCCAUCUUUACCACCAACAGCCCCUCCAGCACUUCCUUCAGUUCCUGCAGCACAAGUUACUAGAGAAACAAUUGAGCCAAUUAAAUUGACAUCUGUUCAACUAAGAAAUGGUACGCCUAAGCUCGGAAGGAGUAAAAAAGACACAGGCAAAGCUGCUAACAGGUUUGGCUUCGUCCCUCCACCUUCGCUCUCAAAUAAAGUGUCUGAUCUCAAGCAAGAAGGCCAGUCAGGGCAUGCUAAAAACACUAUCUCCUCUUCUGCACUCAAAUUAAGUGCAAGGAGUCGUUCAGAAACAAGAUACAAUAAACCAAGCCAAAAAAAUAAUUCAAGCAACUUGAGCAACUGUAAUAGUGUAGCAAAUUCAAACACCAGUAUCAAUUCUGAUAUAGGAAGGGGACCUUCAGAUAGUCAAGCAAGCUAUAAGCAUCAGGCAACUGCAAGGAUACCAACAUCAGCCAAUUAUAGUUCUUCCUAUGGAUCCACUGCUGCUGAUAAAAGGGCAAAAACAGUUGCAAACAACCAGACUGCGCGUACCUCGCAGAUAAAUGACCAAAAGGUGAACAGGAAUAACUCAGUGCUGGAAAUUCAACAGCUAGAACACAGUCCAAGUCUUGGACAUAAAUUCAGACAUGCCCAUACAAAACCAGCGACAAAUAACCAGAAAGCCAGACCAAUGGAGAUGGUAUUCAAUCCAGCACCUGGGAAAAGGUUUGACUUAAGGGACCUUAUUCCCAUUCAGACAGUGGACAGAAAUGAGAGGGUUGAGGCAGAAGCCAGUCCGCCUCAAGGGACUAGACACGAAGGUCAACAUUCCCUUAUUGCCGAGAGGAUAAGACGUGAAGUAGUUCUUACACCACCCACCCUUGAAACUAACGAAGACGACAAACAAGGCGAAGAGAAACAAAGAAGGGAUAAAAAAGCAAGUGAGAAGAUUCAUCAGAGUAGUGGAGAGGAGAGCACGGGCGAGGAGGAACUUUGGGCAGGGCCUGGAGAAGCCAUGGCAAUGGAUGAGUCUAUGGUUUGUUCUGCUAUAUCUGAACUUGAUCACUCACCUGAAACAAUGAAUCAACCAUUGAGAUCUGUUCUUCUAAGGAUAGAAGACCCAACAUUUGCUACACUAGCAGCAUUCUCAAAUUCAGGAAUGCUGGAAGAUGAAACCUCUCCAGAAUCCCCUGAUAUAAGCUGCAGUUCCCCAAGUUCAGUCGAACCUCUUCCUCCUCCACCCCAAAACCUCAGUAAACCAGGCACCCCAGAUACACCUGGCAGUCCAACUCAUGGGACAAAUUCUUUAAGUUCUGAUACCAAAGAGAGAGAUUUUCUCAUUGAUGAUGAAAUUGCUGACCAGCCUGGAUUGGUCUUUGACUCUGCUAUCAGGGAGGAACCAUCAAUCCUUGAUACGUCAAGAACAAUUGCAAAAAUAGCAGGAGAAGUUUCACAAGUUUUAGCAUCAGUGGAUCAGAAUGGAGGAUUGGAUCAUUUGAACAGGCUAAACAAGCAGCACGGAAGCACAAAUUCUGUCGGGACUCUUUCACCUUGUGAAAGCCUUGCAAGUGAUGAUUUGAUGGCUGAUUUCGAUAAAAGUGAUGUCUCAGCAUUUGACGACGUAAAUCAUUCGAGUGAAUCACCGUUAAAAUCAGAAAUUCUGAAUAGAAGUGAUCAAGUUAUUAAGGAAUGGAAUGCAUUGCUACACUCUCAUCCAGGGCUUAAUGGAAUACGUACUUCCUCAAAGCCCACCAAAACAAGGCUACGUAGUUCCGCGAGUGGAACUGGGGAGGUGAAGCCGAAAUCAAAUGUGUCGAGUCCACAUAAGACCAAACAACAGCAGGUUGUUCGCCUAGCCGGUGAUGAUGCAUCAGAUGAUUCUGGAAUAAAAGUAAACGGCUUUUCUGUUCAACACCUAGCGCAAGAUGUCUCUUACAUCAAAUCAAUGCUUCUCAGACUCCAAAGGGUGCUCCAAGAGCCUGAAAAUCAAGGACUUUAUGAAAAUGGCUUAAUGGAAAUCUUGGAAAGCCCUCAGGGAGGAAUUCCUUCAGUACAGCCAGCAGCUGGAACUGGAGGAGAAGGACAGGCAGAUGCUGAAGCUGAAGGAGGAGCUCAAAAUCUCAAAUGACCGGAUGUCCAAAUUCAACAUGAAUCAGGAGAAAGUCAAAUACUCGAACAUGGCCACUCAAACAGACAGGAUACGUCCAGCUUCGACAACCUUGUUCCAAAAUUCGCCUGACAGUGCUAAAGCAUCAUUUGUAAG
This 2636-nucleotide unclassified non-coding RNA is filed under the name Cimex lectularius (bed bug). RNAcentral describes it as "uncharacterized LOC106663904, transcript variant X9". The record is from RNAcentral. Lineage: Eukaryota; Metazoa; Arthropoda; Insecta; Hemiptera; Cimicidae.